RNAcentral lists this ribosomal RNA (765 nucleotides) under uncultured Streptococcus sp. RNAcentral describes it as "bacterial SSU rRNA". It matches the Rfam family "Bacterial small subunit ribosomal RNA", at positions 28 to 776 of the family's 1533-position model. The record is from RNAcentral. Lineage: Bacteria; Bacillati; Bacillota; Bacilli; Lactobacillales; Streptococcaceae.
GACGAACGCUGGCGGCGUGCCUAAUACAUGCAAGUAGAACGCUGAAGAGAGGAGCUUGCUCUUCUUGGAAGAGUUGCGAACGGGUGAGUAACGCGUAGGUAACCUGCCUUGUAGCGGGGGAUAACUAUUGGAAACGAUAGCUAAUACCGCAUAACAAUGGGUGACCCAUGUCAUUCAUUUGAAAGGGGCAACUGCUCCACUACAAGAUGGACCUGCGUUGUAUUAGCUAGUAGGUGAGGUAACGGCUCACCUAGGCGACGAUACAUAGCCGACCUGAGAGGGUGAUCGGCCACACUGGGACUGAGACACGGCCCAGACUCCUACGGGAGGCAGCAGUAGGGAAUCUUCGGCAAUGGGGGCAACCCUGACCGAGCAACGCCGCGUGAGUGAAGAAGGUUUUCGGAUCGUAAAGCUCUGUUGUAAGUCAAGAACGAGUGUGAGAGUGGAAAGUUCACACUGUGACGGUAGCUUACCAGAAAGGGACGGCUAACUACGUGCCAGCAGCCGCGGUAAUACGUAGGUCCCGAGCGUUGUCCGGAUUUAUUGGGCGUAAAGCGAGCGCAGGCGGUUUGAUAAGUCUGAAGUUAAAGGCUGUGGCUCAACCAUAGUUCGCUUUGGAAACUGUCAAACUUGAGUGCAGAAGGGGAGAGUGGAAUUCCAUGUGUAGCGGUGAAAUGCGUAGAUAUAUGGAGGAACACCGGUGGCGAAAGCNGCUCUCUGGUCUGUAACUGACGCUGAGGCUCGAAAGCGUGGGGAGCGAACAGG